UGGGGAAUAUUGCACAAUGGGGGAAACCCUGAUGCGGCGACGCCGCGUGGAGGAUGAAGGUCUUCGGGUUGUAAACUCCUUUUCUUGGGGAAGAUAAUGACGGUACCCAAGGAAUAAGCCACGGCUAACUCUGUGCCAGCAGCCGCGGUAAGACAGAGGUGGCGAGCGUUGUUCGGAAUUACUGGGCUUAAAGGGCGAGUAGGCGGUGGAGCAAGUCUGAUGUGGAAUCUUAGGGCUUAACCCUAAAACUGCAUUAGAAACUGUUUUACUUGAGUCAGUGAGGGGAGGGCGGAAUUCCUGGUGUAGCGGUGAAAUGCGUAGAUAUCAGGAGGAAGGCCUGUGGCGAAGGCGGCCCUCUGGCACUGUACUGACGCUGAGGCGCGAAAGCGUGGGGAGCAAACAGGAUUAGAUACCCUGGUAGUCCACGCCCUAAACGGUGGGCAUUAGGUGUAGGGCUCGUAAGGGUUCUGUGCCGAAGGGAAACCAUUAAAUGCCCCGCCUGGGGAGUACGGCCGCAAGGUUG
Molecule: ribosomal RNA, 523 nt
Filed under: uncultured bacterium
Lineage: Bacteria
Description: bacterial SSU rRNA
Rfam family: Bacterial small subunit ribosomal RNA
Source: RNAcentral